GGAGGAUGCGAGCGUUAUCCGGAUUUAUUGGGUUUAAAGGGUGCGUAGGCGGAUUAAUAGGUCAGUGGUGAAAACCUGCAGCUUAACUGUAGAAUUGCCAUUGAUACUGUUAGUCUUGAGUACGGUCAAGGUAGGCGGAAUGUGUAAUGUAGCGGUGAAAUGCUUAGAUAUUACACAGAACACCGAUUGCGAAGGCAGCUUACUGGGCCAUUACUGACGCUGAUGCACGAAAGCGUGGGGAGCGAACAGGAUUAGAUACCCUGGUAGUCCACGCCGUAAACGAUGAUCACUCGCUGUUAGCGAUACACAGUUAGCGGCUAAGCAAAAGCAUUAAGUGAUCCACCUGGGGAGUACGGCCGCAAGGCUG
This 367-nucleotide ribosomal RNA is filed under the name uncultured bacterium. RNAcentral describes it as "bacterial SSU rRNA". It matches the Rfam family "Bacterial small subunit ribosomal RNA", at positions 527 to 896 of the family's 1533-position model. The record is from RNAcentral.